Molecule: ribosomal RNA, 233 nt
Filed under: uncultured bacterium
Lineage: Bacteria
Description: partial 16S ribosomal RNA
Rfam family: Bacterial small subunit ribosomal RNA
Source: RNAcentral
GCACAAGCAGUGGAGUAUGUGGUUUAAUUCGACGCAACGCGAAGAACCUUACCAAGUCUUGACAUCCUGCGACGCACAUAGAAAUAUGUGUUUCCUUCGGGACAUCGAGACAGGUGGUGCAUGGUUGUCGUCAGCUCGUGUCGUGAGAUGUUGGGUUAAGUCCCGCAACGAGCGCAACCCUUAUUGCCAGUUACUACGUUAAGAGGACUCUGGCGAGACUGCCGUUGACAAAA